Cinara cedri is the source of this 470-nucleotide non-coding RNA. The record is from the annotation of a GenBank genome assembly. Lineage: Eukaryota; Metazoa; Arthropoda; Insecta; Hemiptera; Aphididae.
CGAUCGCGACUUGUCGUACAGAUUUCUACGAUUCGAAAUUUCGCGUGUUUUCGGCGUUGUGCGACCGCGAGUAAAACGUUCGCUGAUAACGUUUUUGCGGUCGCGGGUUACUGCGACCUGAUUACGCCGUAUGCGGUAAACAAUUUAGUAGAUUUCGAGUGGAGUUCAUUGGAGUCCCGUUUAGAGUUGGAAAGAGGGUUUACCGAUUGUCAGUAUUACAGUUGGACUAGGGUAAAUGAUACACAGGGUGAAUCGUGCGACAAACAAAUUAAUAAUAAUUAUUAAUUUUAAUCAAAUACAAGUAUAAUCAUUGGAGCACAUAUGGGGGUGCCAGGGGGUGCUUAGCAACCCCAGAUUUUGAACUAAACAAAAUAAAUAUAAUACUCAAAUAGCACUCAGAUGUGAGAUAAUUGAUUACCAUUAUACUAUUGUGUAUUGAUUUAUACUAUACAUAAUACAGUCAAAUUCGC